This 65-nucleotide transfer RNA is filed under the name Nesophrosyne sp. 17 GMB-2012. RNAcentral describes it as "tRNA-Glu". Lineage: Eukaryota; Metazoa; Arthropoda; Insecta; Hemiptera; Cicadellidae. The record is from RNAcentral.
UUUUAUGUAGUUUAACCAAAACAUUUUAUUUUCAUUAAAAAAAUGACUUCGUAGGUCUAUAAACU